GAUGAACGCUAGCGACAGGCCUAACACAUGCAAGUCGAGGGGCAGCAUUAUUGAAGCUUGCUUUAAUAGAUGGCGACCGGCGCACGGGUGCGUAACGCGUAUGCAACCUACCCAUUACAAGAGGAUAGCCCAGAGAAAUUUGGAUUAAUACUCUAUAGUAUUUACUCUAAGCAUUUAGAGUUUUUUAAAGGAUUCGUUCUGGUAAUGGAUGGGCAUGCGUAUGAUUAGCUAGUUGGUAGGGUAACGGCCUACCAAGGCAAUGAUCAUUAGGGGUUCUGAGAGGAUAGUCCCCCACACUGGUACUGAGACACGGACCAGACUCCUACGGGAGGCAGCAGUGAGGAAUAUUGGUCAAUGGACGCAAGUCUGAACCAGCCAAGUCGCGUGCAGGAUGACUGCCCUAUGGGUUGUAAACUGCUUUUAUAUAGGAAUAAUGUUAGUUACGUGUAACUAUUUGGAUGUACUAUAUGAAUAAGCACCGGCUAACUCCGUGCCAGCAGCCGCGGUAAUACGGAGGGUGCAAGCGUUAUCCGGAUUUAUUGGGUUUAAAGGGUGCGUAGGCGGGUUCAUAAGUCAGUGGUGAAAGUCUGUCGCUUAACGAUAGAAUUGCCAUUGAAACUGUGGAUCUUGAAUACAGUAGAGGUAGGCGGAAUAUAUUGUGUAGCGGUGAAAUGCAUAGAUACGAUAUAGAACACCGAUUGCGAAGGCAGCUUACUAUGCUGAGAUUGACGCUGAUGCACGAAAGCGUGGGGAGCGAACAGG
RNAcentral lists this ribosomal RNA (762 nucleotides) under uncultured bacterium. RNAcentral's name for it is "bacterial SSU rRNA". It matches the Rfam family "Bacterial small subunit ribosomal RNA", at positions 28 to 776 of the family's 1533-position model. The record is from RNAcentral.